This is a long non-coding RNA of Ictalurus punctatus (channel catfish), 1954 nucleotides long. RefSeq lists it as uncharacterized. The transcript is spliced from 2 exons. The record is from RefSeq and is a predicted model, not a curated record. Lineage: Eukaryota; Metazoa; Chordata; Actinopteri; Siluriformes; Ictaluridae.
ACAUACUUUUGAGUGUGUAGCAAAAGAGUAUGCAAGUACUGGGACGUACGGACACGUCAUUUAAAAGAUGAGAACAUUGUUGCCUAGUUAUGCACACCGUCAUCGUAAACAAACUCCUCGUUGCGUUUCAGCUUCUCUUCAUUCAUUAUUUCUUAUAUAAUUUAUACAAGUUCAUUUAAAUUACAGUUCCUCUGAUACAUUUUUUCCGCUCACGCAAGGAGAUGUGAGCAAUAUUAGCUGAAAAAGUGUCCACACCUCGAAAAUCUACCGGAAAUAGUAGACCAUCCGGGAUACUCAUUUCAACAUGCUACGUUUUGGAGCACACUAAUUGUAAUCUUGGAUACUAUUUAGGACAGAUAAUAGGCGAAUUGGGACGCAGCAAGAGUUCUUGUUCAGGAGGUUUUGCUUUUUCACUUACUAUUCAGUAACCGUGUCAUUUUACUGAGCAGUUUUUUUCUUUUCUUAACAUGUCUGUAAUAAAGAGAAUACCAUAAUUACAAUAGUAAUAUCAAGGUUAUUUGUUAUUUUUAUUAGGCAUAUGCCACUGCACUGUUGAUUCAUUUUCUAUAAGAGCAGCUCUGCCGAUAUUUCCAGCUGCAAGGCACAUCACAGGUUUCUAUUAACGCACUUGCUACAAUUCGCUACAUUACGCAUUGUUUAUUAUUAACAGCUAUCAUCACUUCUAUGGCUCACUCUCCACAUAAUUUAAGCCUACUUAAAUUUGAAUUAAAACAAAUUAAAAAAUGUGUCGCUACUUAAGAAAUAAAAAACUUACAAUCAUUGAUUUGGUGAAGCUUUCUGUAAGCAACAUUUAUGGAAUGAGUCUCCAGUGUUAGUGUUUUAUAACAGCCAGUAAAUCGUCUACCAUGGGAAAAUCCAUGACAGAGGACAUUCUGCUUUCUGGUUUCUUGGUAACAGGACAAGCUGCAGGGGUUUAUUUUUUUGUUUGUUUUGUUUAUUAACCUCAAGAGAGAAAAAAGAGGCUGGGGAAGGAAUGAUGUUUUCCUUUUUAGCUGCUAUAACAUAAAUUAAAACAAGAAAUAAAGAGUUUCAUGGCUGUUCCAGAACCUUAAAUGUAAUUAUAAAUGGGUGUUCAUUAAUAAAUUGCACUCAUUUGCAAAUUGCGGUGGUAUAAGAGGAAUAGAACACUUAGGAGCAUGCUGUUAUUGGAAAAUAACCAACUACAGGGUGGUAACAGCAACUCCGCUUUGAAUCAGGCCACAUCACAUCAACCUGUUGUUGAUUAUUUUUCUACAACAAUGUGUUUUAUUUAUUACUUGCUACACUUUCCCUCAGUCUGUGUGCCAAACAUCUUAUCACAAGCACGAGGGUGUUUGAGAGAGUGACAAGUGAAUUACAUGAAAAAUCCACAGGGGGGAAAAAAAGAGAAAGAGCAAAUGACAAAUGCUGAGGCUCAGAGAAAGGAACAGAGAGGAAAAGGGGGUGAAGGAGAACAUGACAGAGAGAAAGACAAACAGACAGACAGGCAGACAGACAGACAGGAGGAGGAGGCAGCAGAGGUGGAGGGGAUGAUGGUUACAGGCUGAGGAAUGAAAGAGUGAAGUACACUGACAGGAGCCACUGCCUCAGAGAGUGGAAUAAAAGAUUACGCAGUCACUGCUUCCACGAAACGACUGAUAGAUUUGAACAAUAUAAAAAAGAGAGGAAGAUAAUGGGGUGAAAUGAAGAAGUCCUCAAGGCGUGGAGAUUUGCAGUUCGAUCAUUUCCCAACCAUUUCACAUCGGUUUACUUGCGGAAAAGCAUCGACAUCAUCAAACUCUUCCGUCUCCAGCCUAGGAGUUGAUGGACCCCUGGAUUAUAAGAAUUUGGAAGAUAAAAAAUGUACUAUAGGUAGUAAAAAGCCAAACAGGACCAAUACAUUUCCACAACAGGCACAACAUGUUCUCAAGGAAAUUCUGCCACCCUGUGGUGACAUGACGCAAACAAAUUGGGG